This 253-nucleotide ribosomal RNA is filed under the name uncultured bacterium. RNAcentral describes it as "partial 16S ribosomal RNA". It matches the Rfam family "Bacterial small subunit ribosomal RNA", at positions 524 to 776 of the family's 1533-position model. The record is from RNAcentral.
UACGAAGGGUGCAAGCGUUACUCGGAAUUACUGGGCGUAAAGCGUGCGUAGGUGGUUCGUUAAGUCUGAUGUGAAAGCCCUGGGCUCAACCUGGGAAUGGCAUUGGAAACUGGCGACCUAGAGUGCGGUAGAGGGUAGUGGAAUUCCCGGUGUAGCAGUGAAAUGCGUAGAGAUCGGGAGGAACAUCCGUGGCGAAGGCGACUACCUGGACCAGCACCGACACUGAGGCACGAAAGCGUGGGGAGCAAACAGG